Molecule: ribosomal RNA, 406 nt
Filed under: uncultured bacterium
Lineage: Bacteria
Description: partial 16S ribosomal RNA
Rfam family: Bacterial small subunit ribosomal RNA
Source: RNAcentral
AUUGAACGCUGGCGGCAGGCCUAACACAUGCAAGUCGAGCGAGCGGCGGACGGGUGAGAAAUGUCUGGGAAACUGCCUGAUGGAGGGGGAUAACUACUGGAAACGGUAGCUAAUACAGCAUACCAUCGGAUUGGCCCAGAUGGGCUUAGCUAGUUGGUGGGGUAAAGGCUCACGUAGGCGACGAUCCCUAGCUGGUCUGAGAGGAUGACCAGCCACACUGGAACUGAGACACUGUACAGACUCCUACGGGAGGCAGCAGUGGUGAAUAUUGCACAAUGGGCGCAAGCCUGAUGCAGCCAUGCCGCGUGUAUGAAGAAGGCCUUCGGGUUGUAAAGGACUUUCAGCGGGGAGGCGUUACCCGCAGAAGAAGCACCGGCUAACUCCGUGCCAGCAGCCGCGGUAAUUC